This 489-nucleotide ribosomal RNA is filed under the name uncultured bacterium. Its description in RNAcentral is "partial 16S ribosomal RNA". It matches the Rfam family "Bacterial small subunit ribosomal RNA", at positions 29 to 506 of the family's 1533-position model. The record is from RNAcentral.
AUUGAACGCUGGCGGCAGGCCUAACACAUGCCAGUCGAACGGUAACAGGAAGAAGCUUGCUUCUUUGCUGACGAGUGGCGGACGGGUGAGUAAUGUCUGGGAAACUGCCUGAUGGAGGGGGAUAACUACUGGAAACGGUAGCUAAUACCGCAUAACGUCGCAAGACCAAAGAGGGGGACCUUCGGGCCUCUUGCCAUCGGAUGUGCCCAGAUGGGAUUAGCUAGUAGGUGGGGUAACGGCUCACCUAGGCGACGAUCCCUAGCUGGUCUGAGAGGAUGACAGGCCAACCUGAAACGGGAGAACGGGCCCACACCCCAGGGGGGGCAGGAGGGGGGAAAAUUGAAAAAGGGGGGCAAGCCUGAAGGAGCCAUGCCGGGUGUAUGAAGAAGGCCUUGGGGUUGUAAAGUACUUUCCGGGGGGGGGAAGGGAGGAAAGUUAAUACCUUGGCCCAUUGGCGUUACCCGCAAAAGAAGCACCGGCUACCUCCGU